AAGUCGUAACAAGGUUUCCGUAGGUGAACCUGCGGAAGGAUCAUUAACACGUAUCCAAACGUUAAAACCCCCCCCGUGAUGCUUCAUCCUGCUCCCGCGUAGUUCUCAAUCUCUGAUAAAUCAUAGCCCGGAAAGUUGUAGUGACCAAGCAGCCAGUGUCUGAAAGUGUCAUUGAUUGUGCAAGGAUAGCGCUUCUACGAUUCCUGUAGACCGUACACUCGGGCAGGAGCUUUGCCAAAGGGUCCCCAUGCCCCUAAUAACCCCACAGUUUAAUGUGAAGCUCAAUGUAAUACAUUGGGUAAAAAAACCGAACAACUGUUAACAAUGGAUAUCUUGGUUCUC
This 342-nucleotide unclassified non-coding RNA is filed under the name fungal sp. RNAcentral's name for it is "partial internal transcribed spacer region". The stretch from base 1 to 46 matches the Rfam family "Eukaryotic small subunit ribosomal RNA", at positions 1786 to 1831 of the family's 1831-position model. The record is from RNAcentral. Lineage: Eukaryota; Fungi.